ACUCAAAGGAAUUGACGGGGGCCCGCACAAGCAGUGGAGCAUGUGGUUUAAUUCGAAGCAACGCGAAGAACCUUACCAAGACUUGACAUCCCGCUGACCUCUCUAGAGAUAGAGACUCCCUUCGGGGCAGCGGUGACAGGUGGUGCAUGGUUGUCGUCAGCUCGUGUCGUGAGAUGUUGGGUUAAGUCCCGCAACGAGCGCAACCCCUAUGUUGUGUUGCCAUCAUUUAGUUGGGCACUUACAACAGACUGCCGGUGACAAACCGGAGGAAGGCGGGGAUGACGUCAAAUCAUCAUGCCCCUUAUGUCUUGGGCUACACACGUGCUACAAUGGGCGGUACAAAGAGAUGCAAGACCGCGAGGUGGAGCUAAUCUCAUAAAGCCGUUCGUAGUUCGGAUUGCAGGCUGCAACUCGCCUGCAUGAAGCCGGAAUUGCUAGUAAUCGCGGAUCAGCAUGCCGCGGUGAAUUCGUUCCCGGGCCUUGCACACACCGCCCGU
Molecule: ribosomal RNA, 497 nt
Filed under: uncultured bacterium
Lineage: Bacteria
Description: partial 16S ribosomal RNA
Rfam family: Bacterial small subunit ribosomal RNA
Source: RNAcentral